CAGUCGAGGGGUAUAGUAGCAAUACUAGAGACCGGCGCACGGGUGCGUAACGCGUAUGCAAUCUACCUUAUACAGAGGGAUAGCCCAGAGAAAUUUGGAUUAAUACCUCAUAGCAUAGCAACUUCGCAUGAAGUCACUAUUAAAGUUCCAACGGUAUAAGAUGAGCAUGCGUCCUAUUAGCUAGAUGGUAAGGUAACGGCUUACCAUGGCUACGAUAGGUAGGGGUCCUGAGAGGGAGAUCCCCCACACUGGUACUGAGACACGGACCAGACUCCUACGGGAGGCAGCAGUGAGGAAUAUUGGACAAUGGGCGCAAGCCUGAUCCAGCCAUGCCGCGUGCAGGAAGACGCAUCUAUGGUGUGUAAACUGCUUUUGUACGGGAAGAAACACUCCCUCGUGAGGGAGCUUGACGGUACCGUAAGAAUAAGGAUCGGCUAACUCCGUGCCAGCAGCCGCGGUAAUACGGAGGAUCCAAGCGUUAUCCGGAAUCAUUGGGUUUAAAGGGUCCGUAGGCGGUUUGGUAAGUCAGUGGUGAAAGCCCAUCGCUUAACGAUGGAACGGCCAUUGAUACUGCCAGACUUGAAUUACUGGGAAGUAACUAGAAUAUGUAGUGUAGCGGUGAAAUGCUUAG
Molecule: ribosomal RNA, 631 nt
Filed under: uncultured Flavobacterium sp.
Lineage: Bacteria; Pseudomonadati; Bacteroidota; Flavobacteriia; Flavobacteriales; Flavobacteriaceae
Description: bacterial SSU rRNA
Rfam family: Bacterial small subunit ribosomal RNA
Source: RNAcentral